AUUGAACACUGGCGGCAGGCUUAACACAUGCAAGUCGAGCGGAGAUGAGGUGCUUGCACCUUAUCUUAGCGGCGGACGGGUGAGUAAUGCUUAGGAAUCCGCCAUUUAGUGGGGGACAACAUUCCGAAAGGAAUGCUAAUACCGCAUACGUCCUACGGGAGAAAGCAGGGGAUCUUCGGACCUUGCGCUAAAUGAUGAGCCUAAGUCGGGUUAGCUAGUUGGUGGGGUAAAGGCCUACCAAGGCGACGAUCUGUAGCGGGUCUGAGAGGAUGAGCCGCCAAACUGGGACUGAGACACGGCCCAGACUCCUACGGGAGGAAGAAGUGGGGAAUAUUGGACAAUGGGCGGAAGCCUGAUCCAGCCAUGCCGCGUGUGUGAAGAAGGCCUUUUGGUUGUAAAGCACUUUAAGCGAGGAGGAGGCUACUAGUACUAAUACUACUGGAUAGUGGACGUUACUCGCAGAAUAAGUACCGGCUAACUCUGUGCCAGCAGCCGCCGUAA
This 501-nucleotide ribosomal RNA is filed under the name uncultured bacterium. Its description in RNAcentral is "partial 16S ribosomal RNA". It matches the Rfam family "Bacterial small subunit ribosomal RNA", at positions 30 to 523 of the family's 1533-position model. The record is from RNAcentral.